This 513-nucleotide ribosomal RNA is filed under the name uncultured bacterium. RNAcentral describes it as "partial 16S ribosomal RNA". It matches the Rfam family "Bacterial small subunit ribosomal RNA", at positions 29 to 523 of the family's 1533-position model. The record is from RNAcentral.
AACGAACGCUGGCGGCGUGCCUAACACAUGCAAGUCGAGCGCGAAAAGGGCAACCUGAGUAGAGCGGCGCACGGGUGCGUAACACGUGGGUAAUCUGCCUUAGAGUCGAGGAUAACCUUCCGAAAGGUUGGCUAAUACUCGGUAAGCUUACGGUGUCUUCGGACGCUGUGGGAAAAGUAGGCCUCUGUUUACAAGCUUACGCUCUGAGAUGAGCCCGCGGCCCAUCAGCUAGUUGGCGGUGUAACGGACCACCAAGGCAACGACGGGUAGCUGGGCUGAGAGGACGAUCAGCCACACUGGAACGGAGACACGGUCCAGACUCCUACGGGAGGCAGCAGUGGGGAAUUUUCCACAAUGGGCGAAAGCCUGAUGGAGCAACGCAGCGUGUGUGAUGAAGGUUUUCGGAUCGUAAAGCACUUUCGACCGGGACGAAAAACCUCUGGCUAACAUCCAGGGGCCUGACGGUACCGGGAGAAGAAGCACCGGCUAACUCUGUGCCAGCAGCCGCGGUAA